RNAcentral lists this ribosomal RNA (116 nucleotides) under Rhynchosporium agropyri. The record is from RNAcentral. Lineage: Eukaryota; Fungi; Ascomycota; Leotiomycetes; Helotiales; Ploettnerulaceae.
ACGACCAUAGACUCUUGACAAUUGGGCAUCCCGUCCGCUCUGCCAUACACAAACAGGAGAUCGGCAGAUCAGUAGUUGGGUGGGUGACCACCAGCGAAUACCUGCUGUUGUAUGUA